AGACUCCUACGGGAGGCAGCAGUAGGGAAUCUUGCGCAAUGGGCGAAAGCCUGACGCAGCAAUGCCGCGUGCGGGACGAAGGCCCUAGGGUCGUAAACCGCUUUCAGUAGGGACGAAAAUGACGGUACCUGCAGAAGAAGCUCCGGCCAACUACGUGCCAGCAGCCGCGGUGAUACGUAGGGAGCAAGCGUUGUCCGGAAUUACUGGGCGUAAGGGCUUCGUAGGUGGUUGAGUAAGUCAGAUGUGAAAUCUCAGGGCCCAACCCUGAGCCUGCAUUUGAUACUGCUCUGACUAGAGUCCGGUAGGGGAGUGCGGAACUCCUGGUGUAGCGGUGAAAUGCGCAGAUAACAGGAAGAACACCGACAGCGAAGGCAGCACUCUGGGCCGGUACUGACACUGAGGAGCGAAAGCAUGGGUAGCAAACAGGAUUAGAUACCCUGGUAGUCCAUGCCGUAAACGUUGGGCACUAGGUGUGGGGAGAACUCAACUCUCUCCGCGCCGUAGCUAACGCAUUAAGUGCCCCGCCUGGGGAGUACGGCCGCAAGGCUAAAACUCAAAGGAAUUGACGG
This 569-nucleotide ribosomal RNA is filed under the name Candidatus Neomicrothrix parvicella. Its description in RNAcentral is "bacterial SSU rRNA". It matches the Rfam family "Bacterial small subunit ribosomal RNA", at positions 333 to 916 of the family's 1533-position model. Lineage: Bacteria; Bacillati; Actinomycetota; Acidimicrobiia; Acidimicrobiales; Microthrixaceae. The record is from RNAcentral.